AGCCACGCAAGAGCUCUGUAGCACUUUUCUACUCGUCGAUAGCCGACGACGGAGAACAUAACCAUCAAGUGAAGAAGCCCGCGGCAAAAACGCAUACGCCUGCCUAUGAAAAGCACCCACCAUACUGAACAUAUAACUUCUCGCGGAUUUUCGCAUACACACAAACACACACCAUUGUUGCGCUUUAAGCACAGCACGACUUACCCGCUUGUGCGUUCGUGCUUGCCGCUUCACGGCAUCAGCAGGUGAAAGUUGGAGUGCCCACAGCCAGCAUCAGGCCAGACUCGUACGCAGUUUUUUUGCCCUUGUUUUUUUUUUCGUGCAGCAUUUUCAAGUGGCUUCUUUAAAGAGGCUGCUUGUACCGGUUUUGCUACAGCCUUGCACGCAACGAACCACGACCUGCGAGCACUCGUCUGCCAAAGUCUGUGAAUAAUGACGCCUUUGGUGCUUCUUUCUACUUCUCGUGGAAAGGAUGCAAAUGCAAAGUCGCUAGCUGCGUACCUGACUCGCUCGGUGCUGACGCCGAUCGCAACCAAGGCUGCGACAGCGGCGGGCAGCGUCUCGGCGGCGUCAGAGCCGAUCAAAUACCGCUGCUCUAGCACAGAGCUGCAGUGCGGCUACAGCGGCGGCGUCGACGUGUAUCUUGCCAUCGACAAUCAGCACCGCAGCACCUUCCUCGAGCAUAGUGUGUACCUGUACAGUGCAGCUCUCGAGGUAUGUCCUCAGCUCUCCAUUAGUAUCAUUCCCGUCAUUCGCACAGCAGAGGCGGCGACGUGCGGCACAGCAAGCAAGGAAGAAACUCACGCGCCUGCAGCCUCCCCCUCGCCCUCUGCGCGCUCGAAACAGCAGCAGCAGCAGUUCGACGGAGUGCAGCGCGGCGGUAGCGAUGUCAUCGAGCUGUACGACGAUGCGGCGGCAGUACUGCGGGAGUGGAAGUUGGUGGACAAGGCCUUCAUGCGCGAUGCGGAGGGUUUUAAGCCGCACUACAAGUACGUCGCUGUCGGCGGCACAUUUGACCACUUUCACUCCGGUCACAAGGUUCUCCUUUCUACUGCCGCGCUGCACGCAAUACAGAAGUUGCGCGUUGGUGUGACGGAUGCGUCACUCUUGACACGGAAGAAGUUCGCAGAGUCACUGCAAUCGAUCGAGCUGCGCAUGGAGAACGUGGCACAGUUCCUGCAGAAGAUGCGGCCGGACCUGGAGCUGGAGCUGGAACCCAUCUCAGAGAUAAGCGGGGGCACAAAGAGCAUCCCCGACGUCGAGGCGCUGGUGGUAUCGCCGGAGACGGCGAAGUCGCUCGGCCUCAUCAAUGAGAUGCGCUCCGCAAACGGCGGCUUGGCCCCGAUGGUAGGAAUUUCGAUUCCGCUGGUGGAAUCGCCCACCGGCGAGUUGAUCAGCUCCACCGCCCUGCGGGAGCGCCAGACGCAGGCGGAUUAAGGUUGUGGGCGAAAGGGGCAGGUGCGCGGGACAGGGAAGGGAGAAGAGGGCAACGCAUGUGUGAGAGCUUCUGUGGUUAGAAGCGACUUUGUUCGACGCCUACCCAAGAAUCAAGAAGUGGGAGAGAGAAAACGGUGGGGCUUGAUCCAGAGACGGAAAACGAAGGGGUAAAGCAGAUGAGGCGUUCAGAGCGCCAUCUGUUAGGCUCCAUGAAACAGAAGGACUGAAAGCACCCGAGAUGGAAAUGGAGGGGGGGGGGAAGGUGGAAGCCGCACGAAUCGCUCAAAGCAAGAAAACUUGCUUGCAGUGUGUGUCCAGGUGUGCGCGUUUGCAUGUCGAGCUUGCUGACCAAAACCCGUCUUGUUUCCUCUCCUUUCUUUUGGUUUCGUCUUGGCCUUGUUGCGUGAGCGGGCUUUUCCGCCCUUCGCUCGCUAG
Molecule: unclassified non-coding RNA, 1872 nt
Filed under: Leishmania donovani
Lineage: Eukaryota; Euglenozoa; Kinetoplastea; Trypanosomatida; Trypanosomatidae
Description: gene:LdHU3.32.2740(CDS-product:Cytidylyltransfera se_putative)
Source: RNAcentral